RNAcentral lists this ribosomal RNA (472 nucleotides) under uncultured bacterium. RNAcentral describes it as "partial 16S ribosomal RNA". It matches the Rfam family "Bacterial small subunit ribosomal RNA", at positions 28 to 507 of the family's 1533-position model. The record is from RNAcentral.
GACGAACGCUGGCGGCGUGCUUAACACAUGCAAGUCGAACGCUGAAGCUUGGUGCUUGCACUGGGUGGAUGAGUGGCGAACGGGUGAGUAAUACGUGAGUAACCUGCCCUUGACUCUGGGAUAAGCCUGGGAAACUGGGUCUAAUACUGGAUACGACAUGCCACUGCAUGGUGGUGUGUGGAAAGGGUUUUACUGGUUUUGGAUGGGCUCACGGCCUAUCAGCUUGUUGGUGGGGUAAUGGCCUACCAAGGCGACGACGGGUAGCCGGCCUGAGAGGGUGACCGGCCACACUGGGACUGAGACACGGCACAGACUCCUACGGGAGGCAGCAGUGGGGAAUAUUGCACAAUGGGCGGAAGCCUGAUGCAGCGACGCCGCGUGAGGGAUGACGGCCUUCGGGUUGUAAACCUCUUUCAGCACGGAAGAAGCGAGAGUGACGGUACGUGCAGAAGAAGCGCCGGCUAACUACGUG